Juglans regia (Persian walnut) is the source of this 1106-nucleotide long non-coding RNA. RefSeq lists it as uncharacterized. NCBI's taxonomy places the organism in Eukaryota, Viridiplantae, Streptophyta, Magnoliopsida, Fagales, Juglandaceae. The record is from RefSeq and is a predicted model, not a curated record. The transcript has 2 exons.
GGUCUCAAACUCCUCUAUCGUUUUCUCUCUAACUUACACAGGCGCACACACAAGCUGUCUUUUCCACAAAUAUUUUCUGGGUUCCAUAAGAAAACAUGUCUUGGGGCGGUGAUGCUGAAAAACUACCUAUUUUCUGAGGGAAAUUAUUUUCCCUUAUGAUUAGGAAUAACCAAUGGAUCCUUCUGAGCCCUCACUCAUCCUUUUCGUCUGUUUUCUUCUAUAUUUUUGUGUGUUUUGUGUUCAAAUCUCUUGCUUUCUUUGUUUUAAUUAUGUGUUAGAUUCGAUCCGGAGCCAUUGAGGUGAUGAUACUCUAUUCGGAAAAUACAAAGAUGUCCGCUAUAGAAAAUAUCAGACUACAAUUAUCUGAUCAAUGGCUCUUUUACGAUGAUGUUUUAUUCAGUCUGUGUUUCUAUUUGUUUCUGAAUCACACAAAACUCUUUCAAAUGGCCCUUCUUUUUUUCAAUCUGUAUUUUCAUCAAGUUCAGAGGUUUUUUCAAAAUUGCAUGAUUUAUUGAAUUUGAUUCGUUAAAAACAGCUUGCAAUGCAGAGUUUGUCUCUUUGAAAUAUAUGGAGGGUAAUGGAAAAACAGAGGCAAGAACUGUGCCCUUUUUUUCUCCAUCUGAGUGCAUACCUGAGAACCAGAAGAUAAUUAAUUCUAUGGCAGAAGAACCAUCAAAAUCCUUAACUACUGAAGAUUCAAAGCCUUUAUUAGGGGAGAUUUGUGAAGUUGCAGGCAAUCUACAAGAAUAGGAGACAAAUAAGAAAGAGACAGCAUUAGAGUGAAAGAGAGAUGUAUAGUGAAAAAAGCAUUAAGCUAGUCUGUGUUGAGGGAGCAUUGAGUUUGUAAAGUGCUCGAAAAUGUGAAUACUUCCUCGGACAUAUCUGUCAAAUAUAAGCAGGGUUUUCAUAUUUUCACAUAUUUCUAAGGUUGCUAUAUGUAUUUUUUUUUUUUUUUUUAAAAUUCGGGGAGAGGGUAGAGGGUCGAACCCAAGACCUCUCUUUGGGAAGUUUAGGUGUAAGGCCAUAUGCCUUUGACAAGGUUGCUUUAUGUAUGAUAUUUAUCGAUCAAAAUAUAUUAGUGUACAUUAAUACAAAAUCACUUCUUU